RNAcentral lists this ribosomal RNA (32 nucleotides) under Ilex crenata (Japanese holly). RNAcentral describes it as "partial 18S ribosomal RNA". The record is from RNAcentral. Lineage: Eukaryota; Viridiplantae; Streptophyta; Magnoliopsida; Aquifoliales; Aquifoliaceae.
UAUGUGAACUGCGGAAGGAUCAUUGUCGAUGC